AGCUUUGUGCAGUGGCAGUAUCAUAGCCAAUGAGGUUUAUCCAAGGUGCAAUUAUUGCUAAUUGAAAACUUCCCAAUACCCCACCGUGACGACUUGUAAUAUAGUUGGCGUUGGCAGUUUUUGACAGUCUCUAUGGAGA
Mastomys coucha (southern multimammate mouse) is the source of this 139-nucleotide small nuclear RNA. RefSeq annotates it as U4 spliceosomal RNA. Lineage: Eukaryota; Metazoa; Chordata; Mammalia; Rodentia; Muridae. The record is from RefSeq and is a predicted model, not a curated record. The transcript has a single exon.